AGGAGAGAAAUCAUGUGAGCUUGAGAAGGAAUCAGAUUCUGCAUAUAUUUCCAAGUUAACAUGAACAAGAUUUUCUGAAAGACUGCUAUGGAGUCUGAGAAAAAAUGUCAAAGGUAGUGCCAAAAUUGUCACUUAAAGAACUGCAGGAAUGGAGUUGGCAUUUACAGAAUUUGGAAGAGAAGCAGGUUUAGUGAUAAAGACCAGAAGCACAGAGCUAAGCAUAUUAAAUAUUGAGGACAUGAAGAGGAAAGAACUGACAGAGGAGGUGAAGAAAGGUGAUCAGGAAGAGCCAUCAAAGUGUUAUCCUGGAAUUCAAGUGAAGACAGUGUUUCAAAGUGGAAAUGAACAGUGUCCUGUAACCCUCAGAGUGAGACUAGAGUCAGAAUGCAGGCUUUUCUCAUUUGAAAUCUAUUGAAUAAACAUCAGUAAAAGAAGCAAUCCAAGUUCUCAUGCCAAAUAUGUAUAUGUCCAAGACCAGGAUUUCUUCAUGUCUGAAUGUGGAUAUGGAGCCUAGAGUACUAGCAAGGUAAGUCCAGGUCCUUACCUCCACCUAAAAGUUCUGCCAUCAAGGAACAUCUGCUCAUUAUCUUCUGUUCACACAUCAAAUGACUUCAAUGUGAUCCCUGGAUGUUCUCCAAAGAGCUGAAGGGAAAUAAAUAUUCUUUCUUUAUCACCAAAUACUUCAACUGCAGAGUGAUUGUGCUACCAAGGCCUGAAACUUCGGAAAAACCUGCAUAACACAAAAUAUAAAAUAUGCCACAGAGAGGAUCCAGAGAGCCCAUCUCCGGUCAGUUAUCUGUAUUUGUAUGUCAACUACAGCAUCAAAAAGCAUAGGCAUGGAUACUAAGGACCCCCUCUGUACACCAACGCCAGUCCAAAGGACAGUGUGUCACUGUGAACUGGAAAUUCAUCUCUCUUCUUCAAUUUUUUUCUACCUACUUUAUGCUUUAUCUCUAAGUUGAGGCUGUUUAUGGCCUCAUCCUCAAUUACCUUGUCCCUCAUUACUCCCAGUUAAUGGAGAUUAAGCUUUGUAUCAUGACUUCCUAACUAAAAUUGAAAUCACAAGACAUCACAUAAAUAAAGUUACAAAUGGAUUAGAUAAA
This is a long non-coding RNA of Homo sapiens (human), 1103 nucleotides long. Ensembl annotates it as long intergenic non-protein coding RNA 2790. NCBI's taxonomy places the organism in Eukaryota, Metazoa, Chordata, Mammalia, Primates, Hominidae. The record is from Ensembl.